UAUACCUGUCGCUGCAUGCCAUUAUGCAAUCUUGAUUUGCGAAUCUUUCGGUACCCUCGAGAUCGUGCGGACACCAAAACGUCAUUUCUUCAUAAAAGGACGCCGUCACGAUAUCAUCAUGACCCCUUAAUCUAUGAGUUUUUUUGUUUUUUCUCCUGGGUCUGUUAAUAUUCUUUAUCACUCCAUAAUUAUUAGCGAUCUUCCCGAUCACUCUCCCCGUUUGGUCUUCCAUUCCACGAGUCUAUAAAUACCCGGCCUUUUAUCAUUCAUUCUUUACGCUUUCAAAUUUUCCAAACUCUCUCUUGUUCAAGGAUUAAAAGAAACCCCCUGACUUUCUCCCAGAAACCUUUCGAAACCAUUUCCAAUGGCCUCUUUCA
Molecule: long non-coding RNA, 377 nt
Filed under: Malus domestica (apple)
Lineage: Eukaryota; Viridiplantae; Streptophyta; Magnoliopsida; Rosales; Rosaceae
Description: long non-coding RNA (MDOM_LNC003620)
Source: RNAcentral